RNAcentral lists this ribosomal RNA (306 nucleotides) under Triticum aestivum (bread wheat). RNAcentral's name for it is "partial small subunit ribosomal RNA". Lineage: Eukaryota; Viridiplantae; Streptophyta; Magnoliopsida; Poales; Poaceae. The record is from RNAcentral.
AUGAGAGGAGGAAAUGCCGAAGCACAAACACCACUCUGGACACGACCACAGUGCACAGAGCACGAGCACAGGCGUGCCAGUUGCGUGGUCACCACGGUGCCCGGCAAGGAGAGGACAGGUAAGGCUGAAAGGAUUUGUCAAGUGACUAGUCCCUGCAUAAUAGAGUCUGAGGGAGUUGAUGUAUCUACCAAAGGAGCUAAGGAGAGGAGUGUGGCAUCGCUGAAAGUUUGUUGCAUCAAACUUAGGCGUGCACUGCUGAUCAACAGGUACUUGAUUGGGUCAAAUGGAGUUGUCUGGAAGGUUUAG